UGGACGGAAGCUAAGCGGUCAGGCAUCGGACUUUUAAUCCGAACAUGGUGGGUUCGAUUCCCACUCGUCCAA
This 72-nucleotide transfer RNA is filed under the name Pseudomonas phage VCM. It matches the Rfam family "tRNA". From Rfam's summary of the family: Transfer RNA (tRNA) molecules are approximately 80 nucleotides in length. Their secondary structure includes four short double-helical elements and three loops (D, anti-codon, and T loops). Further hydrogen bonds mediate the characteristic L-shaped molecular structure. tRNAs have two regions of fundamental functional importance: the anti-codon, which is responsible for specific mRNA codon recognition, and the 3' end, to which the tRNAs corresponding amino acid is attached (by aminoacyl-tRNA synthetases). tRNAs cope with the degeneracy of the genetic code in two manners: having more than one tRNA (with a specific anti-codon) for a particular amino acid; and 'wobble' base-pairing, i.e. permitting non-standard base-pairing at the 3rd anti-codon position. Lineage: Duplodnaviria; Heunggongvirae; Uroviricota; Caudoviricetes; Vandenendeviridae. The record is from Rfam by way of RNAcentral.